UAGGGAAUCUUCCGCAAUGGGCGAAAGCCUGACGGAGCAACGCCGCGUGAGUGAAGAAGGAUUUCGGUUCGUAAAGCUCUGUUGUUAGGGAAGAAUGAUUGUGUAGUAACUAUACACAGUAGAGACGGUACCUAACCAGAAAGCCACGGCUAACUACGUGCCAGCAGCCGCGGUAAUACGUAGGUGGCAAGCGUUGUCCGGAAUUAUUGGGCGUAAAGCGCGCGCAGGUGGUUUAAUAAGUCUGAUGUGAAAGCCCACGGCUCAACCGUGGAGGGUCAUUGGAAACUGUUAAACUUGAGUGCAGGAGAGAAAAGUGGAAUUCCUAGUGUAGCGGUGAAAUGCGUAGAGAUUAGGAGGAACACCAGUGGCGAAGGCGGCUUUUUGGCCUGUACUGACACUGAGGCGCGAAAGCGUGGGGAGCAAACAGGAUUAGAUACCCUGGUAGUCCACGCCGUAAACGAUGAGUGCUAAGUGUUGGUCUCAUAAGAGAUCAGUGCUGCAGCUAACGCAUUAAGCACUCCGCCUGGGGAGUACGACCGCAAGGUUG
RNAcentral lists this ribosomal RNA (547 nucleotides) under uncultured bacterium. RNAcentral's name for it is "bacterial SSU rRNA". It matches the Rfam family "Bacterial small subunit ribosomal RNA", at positions 355 to 896 of the family's 1533-position model. The record is from RNAcentral.